Homo sapiens (human) is the source of this 7375-nucleotide long non-coding RNA. RefSeq lists it as uncharacterized. NCBI's taxonomy places the organism in Eukaryota, Metazoa, Chordata, Mammalia, Primates, Hominidae. The record is from RefSeq and is a predicted model, not a curated record. The transcript is spliced from 2 exons.
AUUAAUAUAUUUGAAAUUAUAUUUAUAUAUAAAUAUUUGAAAUUAUGUAUGUGUAUCUUGUUAUAUAUGAAUUCCAUUUCAUAGUAGUAAAGGCAAAAAAAGUAGUAAAAUAUUUGUUAUAUAAAGAGGGUAUUGGCUUUGAUGGGAUUGAAAAUGACUGAGGUAGAACAAUAGGUUUUUGUUAAGCUGUGGAGGGAGAUAAGGUUAAAAGUGCUACUGAAUUUAAUUAUACAGUAGACCCUGAAUAUGAGAGAGGAGAGGGACAGGGACUCUGGGCCAAAAAGGAACCAGAAGAAAAAUGAAACUGGCCAGCAGGCAGGAUUCCUGGUAUGCAGGGUGUGCACUAGAAUUAAUCAACCUAAUCUUACUGUUGGUGCUAGUCUUGGUCCAAGGUGACAAGAAGGUUCGUAGUGGUAUUGAAGGACCAGUGUGACAAGCAGGCCCAUCAGUGGGAGGUUCAAGGGAAGAAGCAAGUAGGAUCACAUUGAAGUUGUUGAUGAUCUUCUUAUUCACUUUGGCUGGGUGUGAGGCAAGCUCCUGAGGCACAUUAAAGGUUAGCUUCUGGGAAACACAGAGAAGCGGGGAAUGCAAUGAAUCCUUAGCACACUGAGACCUGGCUUUGACUGGCAACAUAAUUUCAUUUUAAGCCUUGAGAUGAGCUUAGGAACUGGCCCUCAGUUGCGGUUGUGUUGUAGAAUGCAGGGCUGUGUAGGUGGGAUCUUGUUCUGUGGGUUAGAGAGCCUCUGAAGACUUUAGAGUUGGGCAUAUUAGGGACAAAAAUCUGAUAUUCAGAUAGGAUAUCAAUUAGAAAAAGAAGAAACUGGAAGCUGAUAAGUCAGUCAUUCAGUGUGUUGCAGAUUUGAAAUUAUGGGUUUAUUAGAUGUUAGUAACAAAAAAUAAUAUUCUAUAGAAAGAGAUGUCAGAGCUAGGUGAAGUAUUGAUUACAGAUUGAGAGGAAAAUGUCAAUGGUUUUGAGUUUGACUGAGUGAAAAAAUAGGGCCAGAGAUAGAAAUAGUUGGUGAUUGCAUGGAGAAUUGCUUUUAAGACUUUACAGUUUAAAAGGCUGUUAUCCGAUAUAAUCUUCAUAUGCUAGCCCUUUGAAAAAGUUUUAAAUUUUUAUUUUGUAGAAUUUAUAUUGUUUAUAGAACCUGUAUUAUAAAUAUGGAAUUAAGGCUCAGAGGGGUUAGAUGACUUGUCUAAGGAGCAGGAUCUUGUACCUAGACCUUGUUAGAUUUCAACAGGGUCAUUACUGACAUUUUGGAGUAAUCAAUUUGGGUUUUAGGGAUUUUGAGCUCAUGAGACAUCUGUAUGAAAAUGUCUUGUUGGGAAUGUGGGAGUGCAGCUCACAAGAGUUUAGCGUAAGUAGUAUAUAUGUACCAUGGUCGUUAAGAAGUUGAACCAUGUAUAACAUUUUUGUGGAAGCGAAUGUUGAGUGAAAACAGAGUCAGUUACAAGGCAAGGUAGAAACUCCCAUGGGAAGCUGGAGGUGAUUUCUCUUAUGUUGUACAGUGAUGAAAAAAUCAGUAGGUUUUGAUCCUGACUUUGUUUUUCAUCCAUGUACAGUAUAAGAUAAGCCACCUCAAUUAGUUUGCUAGGGCUGCUGAAAAAAAGUACCACAGCCUGGGUAGCUUAAACAACAGAAACUUAAUGUCUUGCAGUCUUGGAAGCUGGAAGUCUGAGAGUAAGGUGUCAUGGCCCUCCAAAUGAGGGCAAUGAGGAAAGAUCUGUGCCAGCCACUCUCCUUAACUUGUAGAUAGUGGUCUUCUCCCUGUGUCUUCACAUCAUUUUUCCUGUGUACCUGUCUGCAUCCAAAUUUUCUCUUCUUACAAGGACAAUAAUCACUUUGGUUUAGGGUCCACCCAUAUGACAUCAUUUCAACUUAAUUACCUUUUUGAAGACCCUAUCUCCAAAUACAGUCCUAUUCUAAGGUACUAAAGGUCAGGACUUCAACAUGAAUUUUUUGGGGGGACACAGUUCAGCCCAUAACAGCACUUAAUGGCUUUGGGCCUUAGUAACCCUACGUAUUAAUCCAUUCUUGCACUGUUGUAAAGAAAUACCUGAGACUGAGUAAUUUCUAAAGAAAAGAGGUUUAAUUGGCUCAUGGUUCUGCAGGCUGUACCAGAAGCACAGCAUCUUCUGGAGAGGCCUCAGGAAACUUUCAAUCAUCCUAUAAGGCAAAGGGGAAGCAGGCACGUCUUACAUGCUGAAGCAGGAGGAAUAGAGAGAGGGAGGAGGUCCUAUACACUCUUAAACAACCAGAUUUCAUGACAGCUCACUGACUCACUAUUGAUAUGACAACACGAAGGGGGAUGGUGUUAAACCAUGAUAAACCACCCCAGAUCCAAUCACCUCCCACCAGGCCCCACCUCCAAUAAUGGGGAUUACAAUUCAACAUGAGAUUUAGGUGAGGGCACAGACUCAAACCAUGUCACCCUACUUGCAAAAAAUAGGAGUUGGAUUAUGCCAUCUCUUAAGAACUACUUUGGCGUUGUGGUUUUGAUUUCCCAAAGAAUCUUUAAACUCAGAAUUUGGAAUGUUCUGGAGAUCAGGGAAUGAUAGAAAAAUAGUUGGGGCCUUGAUCACAAAAUGGCAUUUUAUUUUCUAUUGAAUAAAAUAUUUUAAUGUCUUUCUAAUAAAGUCUGACUUCUGAGUGAUUUUUUUUUUUUUUGUAGCAGUAAAUGACUUCAAGGAAGAGAAAUUAAACUCUGGGUCAGUUUUUGUUAUUUGUUUUUUUCUUGCCUUCUCAUUCUGCCUUUCAUAUUCUUAUUUUUCUGCUGUUUAUAUCUGGAAGCAAAAGGCAUCAUCAUUGCUUAGCCUUUCCCCAUUAAUACUUCUGGAAGUCCAGACACAAUAACUCCUCUGUGUAUCUAAUGGUAGAAUUUGAAAUAUUUAGGGCAAUGUGGGAGACAUUUGGGAUAUGUUCAAUUUUACAUUGAUGAGGAAGCAGCAUGGUGUGUUCAACUGAGAUAGAACACCUGAAUUUGAAUUUGCCCCUCUUCUGCUGUGUUGAUCAAUUUCUCAUUUACAAAAUAUCAACAGCGGGAAGAUUUCAGAAUAGGAAAGCACCAUGCACAGUAAAGUAGUUUGUAAGUGGCUACUUGCCACUCACAGGCUUACCUAGAAACUUGGAUUUUAGGGCGUAAUUUUCACCUCAAGUGGAAAUACUUGAAGCAACUCUAAUCUAACCUAGAUUUAUGUCCAAAGAUGUACUUUGAAUUUUAUCUCUCAUUGAGCUAGAGUGUGUAAUGGAUUAAUUCAAGUUCAGGCGCUUUGAAACUCAUUCUGUCCUCGAUGGCAGCUUGGAGAAAUUAAGUUGUAGUGCUCAGGGUCAGCUUUUCUAUUUUAAUUUAGAAUCAUUAUAUGGCAUCAUCUUGGUUUAUGAGGAACAGAUAAAGGGCUGGGAGAUACAGGAGAGGUUUGAAAGACAGUGGAUAAAAUGUCUUAGGAUAUUCCAUCUUUCAAACAACUUUUAAGUGUUAAGUGUGUAUGUUCUUACUCUCUGAUAUUGUAUUCUAGACUUCCACGUUUUUUGUUGUCUUAAGAUUUUCUUAGACAGGCAUGAGGUGAAUGAACCAGUUGUCUCUUUUCAUAGAUUCUUGAAUAUGUGAUGGUUUUCUUAGGUGAGAAUUAUGCUUAAAGAGAAAUCUAGAUACUCUAAUAGGGAACAAAUUUAAAUUAAAAUGGUAGCAGUAUAAAUAGACAAUAUUUGGUGUGUGCUUGCACAGCCAGAGCCUAGUCUCACUUAACACUCACAAAACCCUCUAAGGUAGGUACUAUCAUUAUUGCUAUUUUGAGGUUAGUAAAGUUAGGAUUGGAGAAGUCACUCACCUAAGGUUAACGCUAGCAUGUGGUAGAGCUAAAAGCUGAACCUGGCUGGGUGCGGUGGCUCACACCUGUAAUCCCAGUACUUUGGGAGGCGGAGGCAGGCGGAUCACCUGAGGUCAGGAGUUUGAGACCAGCCUGUUCAACGUGGCAAAACCCCGUGUCUACUAAAAAUACAAAAAAAUUAACCAGGUGUGGUGGCGGGCACCUGUAAUCCCAGCUACUAGGGAGGCUGAGGCAGGAAAAUCACUUGAACCUGGGAGGCAGAGGUUGUAGUGAGACAAGAUCGCGCCACUGCGCUCCAGCCUGGGUGACAAGAGUGAAACUCCAUCUCAAAAAAAAAAAAAAAAAAAAAAAAAAAGCUGAACCUGAGCAAUCAUACGGCAGAGCCUAUACUUAAACGUUAUACUCUGCUAGAUUUUAUGUAGAAAUUUUGAAUUUAUGCUUCAUUUUCAUUUCAUACAGAGGGUUGUGUUAUUGCCAUUAAGUCAAGGUUAGCAAAAAAGAUAGGGAUUUUGAGGGGGGACAUGGGAAAAAAUUUAUUUAUAAAAGUGAUAACACAUUUUUCAAUAAAGAAAGGAAGGCAGCAUCCACAUAGGACAAGAAAGGGUCUAAAAGAGGAAAGGAACAAAUAGAUUCAACACAAUAUAACUCAGAGACAGUAGAAACAUGUAGAGGAAAAGGGGACCUCUCAUGGUAAACUCUGUAGUAUUGAACUUUUUGUUUGGGUACAUUCUUUUUAAUACAUGUCUGAGUAUUCCCAUGUGCUUUAUCCACCUUCUCUCUCUUCCUUUCUCCACCCUUCUUUAUGUAUUUUUUUCAUUAUUCAUUCUAUUAGAAUUCUAUGGAAACAUUUUAGAUUUUUAAUACAAAAUGUGGUACCAGGAAGGCAGAGGUAGAUAUAAACUGAAAAAGAGAUAAAGGAAAAAGAACAACUUCUUUUAUUUCAAAUAUUUGGAAUUAGUUAACCUGCUUGUAAAAUGAAUAAUUUUAUGAUUUAAUUGUAAAAUUUGUACUGUAUAAUUAAAAUAUUCUAAUAGUACAAUAAAUGUUAUAUGAAUUAUUGAUAUUACUUUUACAAAUUUUUUAAAGUUAUAAAUUGGAAAAUAAGACUGAUUUUAAUUGAGUCAUUAAAAUUUUGGUGUUUGACUGAUACUUGAUUCUCUACCUUACAUUUUUCUUUUUUAAUGUUAUAGCCUAUCUGUUUUUGUUGUUUUUCAUUAACCAUACCAUUUUUCCUUGUAACUGUAUGGUACAAUUGCUUGUGAAGUUUGUAUAUGUAAUUGAGUUAUAAUUCAAUUGAUAAUUAACCAGUCUAGAUUUCAUUUCUUGCAUUUCAUGUUUGGGGUGUUGUAUUGCUUUUCUAGGGCUUCUGUGAUAAAUUACCACAAAUUUGCUGGCUUAUUCUUUUGUAGUGCUGGAGAGUAGAAGUCCAAAAUCAGGAUAUUGGCCAGUUCAUGCUUCUUUUAGAGGCUAUAGGGAAGAAAUUCUUGCUAGUUUUUUCCUAGCUCCUGGUGGCUUCCUACAAUCUUUGGUGUUCUUUGGCUUAUCGUUACAUCACUUCGAUCUCUGCCUCCAUCUUCACAUGGUCUUCUCUCUCUCUGUGUCUUCUCCUCUUAUAGGGACAUCAGUCAUUGGAUUUAGAGCCCACGCUAAUCCAGCAUGGCUUCAUCUUAACUUAGCUAAUUAUGUCUGCAAAGGCCCCAUUUGCAAAUAAGGUCACCUUCUGAGGUUCUGGGCUGACAUAAAUUUCUGAGAGACACUAUUCAACCUGCUACCAGUGUUUAUUUUUCUCAGUUUCACAGGGAGAUUUGUAGGUCAUAAUGGACUGGGACCUGCAUUGGACCUUUGAAAGCUUAGGAGAAAAAUGUACUACAUGGUGGUUUUGAUAACACUCUUCUUUGUUUUCUUAUUACUGAAGUUUGCAUAUAAUAGACAAUGAAUGAAUAUAGAUAACUUUCUCCAAUGUGAUUUAUUUUUGUUUCUCUCCAUAUAGGCUCUUUUGUUAUUGUUAUUCAUUUAUUUUUGUUUUCAAGCAAAAUAUCAUUCUCUGUGGAUUAUUGAAUGACAUAUGAACUGUGGCUUGUGUGGAGAUAGAUUACAUCUGUCAAGUUAGUGAGUAUGAUUGAGACAUUGGUAGUUAGUCUGGGAUUGGAAGCAGGAAGAACUGAUAUAAUGGAGACCUCUAAAGCUACUAAGUUGCUGUGAAAUGAUAAAGGUCUACUUCCACAAUUCUAUACGUUGGCCACUGGGAUUUCAGACACAUUUACACAAAGACAAAAUGUUCCAGGCUGUUCUGUUGGAGUCUUUUUUUAUUCAGAUAUGCCUUUUAUCCAGGUAUAUGGACAUGUUUUUUUAUCCAGAUACAUCUUUUUUAUCUUUGAGUAGAUUCCUGGGCUGUCCCAUAAGAGCCUUUUUUUAUCCAAAUAUAUAGUUUUGAUGAUCAAAUACAACCUAAAUGAUAAGUAUAUAAUCAUCUUUGGUUAUAACUGAAAUUAUUUUGUCAAUAUCUGGAUGCCUAGAUACUUCUUACCCCUAUCACCUUCCCAGUGGAGAGAGGACAUCUGCCAAAAGAGAACUCAGGUCCUCUGUUCCCUCCCUUUUCCCUGACCUGGAGUCUCUUGCACUCAGGCUCCUGAAAGCUAAGUUGAGAGAGUGGGCACAGAUGGGAAGAGGGGCUCCUGGGACAUAACCUCCUUCUUUAAUAGACUGGAGGGCUGUUGCAGGGAGAGGAAGAAAGGACAAACAUUUGUUUCCAUUUGUGUUUUGUCAAUAUCGCUGUUUGGAAUUGUUCAUCCUCUUGUAAUGAUUUCAAAAUUAACAAGUUGAUUAUAGAUGGAAUUUUCAGUGAAACAUUAUGUUAAUGCAACAUUUGACCCUGUGUAGUAGGUGACAGGUUAAAUUAGGUUUCUUCAAGGGUCUUAAUAACUUUUUUUAAGACUCAAAAAUUCUUUGCUCAGCCUAGACAUUUCUGAAUUCAGCUGUUUUAUUGGCAACUGUUUUUAAAGACACUAUUUGUAGCAUCAUUGUUGGAAGUACAUGAAUCCUAUAAAAGCUAAUUAGGAAUCUAAAUCAGACUUUAGAGAUUACCUUGUCCAGGGGUUUCUCAGUUGCAUCCUCAUGGUCUUCAAGCUAUGUGUUUGGUCUUACAGUAAAUUUUAAUAAAUAGUGACCAGAAAGUGGUCCAGGGCCUGGUUUCUGAAGCCUGACUGCCUGGAUUGCAGUUUGGACUUCAUUCUCAUCUAAGUGUAUGAUUUUGAGCAAGUCUUAAACUUGCUGUGCCUCAUUUUCCAUUUCUUAAAGAGGAUGAAAAUACGACUCAACUUACAGGCUUCUUGGGACAUUAUAUCCAUCAAAUAUGAACAUGAGGCCAUAAAAUAGAAGCAAUCAAGGAAUAAUGAAAAUUUCUUCAAAAUAAAAAUACAUUAACAGGUAUUAAACUUUCAGAAGAACAUUUGGAUUGUGAACUCAGAGAAAUCUCCCAAAAGGAGAUCAAGAAGAGUUAUCAUCUCUUAUGUCUUUGAGAAUAAAUAAUAUAGUUAUUUGAAUUUUC